ACAACACGUUGGGGGUCCUGGUUGAUGCGGAAGCGCCGCGGCAAUCGGGUGAGAAACACCCUUCGAACCUGAUACGGAUAAUACCGUCGUAGGGAAGCGUGGCCGGUCAUCC
RNAcentral lists this non-coding RNA (112 nucleotides) under Betaproteobacteria bacterium. Its description in RNAcentral is "TPP sequence". It matches the Rfam family "TPP riboswitch aptamer (THI element)". From Rfam's summary of the family: Vitamin B(1) in its active form thiamin pyrophosphate (TPP) is an essential coenzyme that is synthesised by coupling of pyrimidine and thiazole moieties in bacteria. The previously detected thiamin-regulatory element, thi box was extended, resulting in a new, highly conserved RNA secondary structure, the THI element, which is widely distributed in eubacteria and also occurs in some archaea. Lineage: Bacteria; Pseudomonadati; Pseudomonadota; Betaproteobacteria. The record is from RNAcentral.